RNAcentral lists this ribosomal RNA (2900 nucleotides) under Escherichia coli DEC14C. Its description in RNAcentral is "bacterial LSU rRNA". It matches the Rfam family "Bacterial large subunit ribosomal RNA". Lineage: Bacteria; Pseudomonadati; Pseudomonadota; Gammaproteobacteria; Enterobacterales; Enterobacteriaceae. The record is from RNAcentral.
UAAGCGACUAAGCGUACACGGUGGAUGCCCUGGCAGUCAGAGGCGAUGAAGGACGUGCUAAUCUGCGAUAAGCGUCGGUAAGGUGAUAUGAACCGUUAUAACCGGCGAUUUCCGAAUGGGGAAACCCAGUGUGAUUCGUCACACUAUCAUUAACUGAAUCCAUAGGUUAAUGAGGCGAACCGGGGGAACUGAAACAUCUAAGUACCCCGAGGAAAAGAAAUCAACCGAGAUUCCCCCAGUAGCGGCGAGCGAACGGGGAGCAGCCCAGAGCCUGAAUCAGUGUGUGUGUUAGUGGAAGCGUCUGGAAAGGCGCGCGAUACAGGGUGACAGCCCCGUACACAAAAAUGCACAUGCUGUGAGCUCGAUGAGUAGGGCGGGACACGUGGUAUCCUGUCUGAAUAUGGGGGGACCAUCCUCCAAGGCUAAAUACUCCUGACUGACCGAUAGUGAACCAGUACCGUGAGGGAAAGGCGAAAAGAACCCCGGCGAGGGGAGUGAAAAAGAACCUGAAACCGUGUACGUACAAGCAGUGGGAGCACGCUUAGGCGUGUGACUGCGUACCUUUUGUAUAAUGGGUCAGCGACUUAUAUUCUGUAGCAAGGUUAACCGAAUAGGGGAGCCGAAGGGAAACCGAGUCUUAACUGGGCGUUAAGUUGCAGGGUAUAGACCCGAAACCCGGUGAUCUAGCCAUGGGCAGGUUGAAGGUUGGGUAACACUAACUGGAGGACCGAACCGACUAAUGUUGAAAAAUUAGCGGAUGACUUGUGGCUGGGGGUGAAAGGCCAAUCAAACCGGGAGAUAGCUGGUUCUCCCCGAAAGCUAUUUAGGUAGCGCCUCGUGAAUUCAUCUCCGGGGGUAGAGCACUGUUUCGGCAAGGGGGUCAUCCCGACUUACCAACCCGAUGCAAACUGCGAAUACCGGAGAAUGUUAUCACGGGAGACACACGGCGGGUGCUAACGUCCGUCGUGAAGAGGGAAACAACCCAGACCGCCAGCUAAGGUCCCAAAGUCAUGGUUAAGUGGGAAACGAUGUGGGAAGGCCCAGACAGCCAGGAUGUUGGCUUAGAAGCAGCCAUCAUUUAAAGAAAGCGUAAUAGCUCACUGGUCGAGUCGGCCUGCGCGGAAGAUGUAACGGGGCUAAACCAUGCACCGAAGCUGCGGCAGCGACGCUGAUGCGUUGUUGGGUAGGGGAGCGUUCUGUAAGCCUGCGAAGGUGUGCUGUGAGGCAUGCUGGAGGUAUCAGAAGUGCGAAUGCUGACAUAAGUAACGAUAAAGCGGGUGAAAAGCCCGCUCGCCGGAAGACCAAGGGUUCCUGUCCAACGUUAAUCGGGGCAGGGUGAGUCGACCCCUAAGGCGAGGCCGAAAGGCGUAGUCGAUGGGAAACAGGUUAAUAUUCCUGUACUUGGUGUUACUGCGAAGGGGGGACAGAGAAGGCUAUGUUGGCCGGGCGACGGUUGUCCCGGUUUAAGCGUGUAGGCUGGUUUUCCAGGCAAAUCCGGAAAAUCAAGGCUGAGGCGUGAUGACGAGGCACUACGGUGCUGAAGCAACAAAUGCCCUGCUUCCAGGAAAAGCCUCUAAGCAUCAGGUAACAUCAAAUCGUACCCCAAACCGACACAGGUGGUCAGGUAGAGAAUACCAAGGCGCUUGAGAGAACUCGGGUGAAGGAACUAGGCAAAAUGGUGCCGUAACUUCGGGAGAAGGCACGCUGAUAUGUAGGUGAAGCGACUUGCUCGUGGAGCUGAAAUCAGUCGAAGAUACCAGCUGGCUGCAACUGUUUAUUAAAAACACAGCACUGUGCAAACACGAAAGUGGACGUAUACGGUGUGACGCCUGCCCGGUGCCGGAAGGUUAAUUGAUGGGGUCAGCGCAAGCGAAGCUCUUGAUCGAAGCCCCGGUAAACGGCGGCCGUAACUAUAACGGUCCUAAGGUAGCGAAAUUCCUUGUCGGGUAAGUUCCGACCUGCACGAAUGGCGUAAUGAUGGCCAGGCUGUCUCCACCCGAGACUCAGUGAAAUUGAACUCGCUGUGAAGAUGCAGUGUACCCGCGGCAAGACGGAAAGACCCCGUGAACCUUUACUAUAGCUUGACACUGAACAUUGAGCCUUGAUGUGUAGGAUAGGUGGGAGGCUUUGAAGUGUGGACGCCAGUCUGCAUGGAGCCGACCUUGAAAUACCACCCUUUAAUGUUUGAUGUUCUAACGUUGACCCGUAAUCCGGGUUGCGGACAGUGUCUGGUGGGUAGUUUGACUGGGGCGGUCUCCUCCUAAAGAGUAACGGAGGAGCACGAAGGUUGGCUAAUCCUGGUCGGACAUCAGGAGGUUAGUGCAAUGGCAUAAGCCAGCUUGACUGCGAGCGUGACGGCGCGAGCAGGUGCGAAAGCAGGUCAUAGUGAUCCGGUGGUUCUGAAUGGAAGGGCCAUCGCUCAACGGAUAAAAGGUACUCCGGGGAUAACAGGCUGAUACCGCCCAAGAGUUCAUAUCGACGGCGGUGUUUGGCACCUCGAUGUCGGCUCAUCACAUCCUGGGGCUGAAGUAGGUCCCAAGGGUAUGGCUGUUCGCCAUUUAAAGUGGUACGCGAGCUGGGUUUAGAACGUCGUGAGACAGUUCGGUCCCUAUCUGCCGUGGGCGCUGGAGAAUUGAGGGGGGCUGCUCCUAGUACGAGAGGACCGGAGUGGACGCAUCACUGGUGUUCGGGUUGUCAUGCCAAUGGCACUGCCCGGUAGCUAAAUGCGGAAGAGAUAAGUGCUGAAAGCAUCUAAGCACGAAACUUGCCCCGAGAUGAGUUCUCCCUGACUUCUUGAGAGUCCUGAAGGAACGUUGAAGACGACGACGUUGAUAGGCCGGGUGUGUAAGCGCAGCGAUGCGUUGAGCUAACCGGUACUAAUGAACCGUGAGGCUUAACCU